GAUGAACGCUGGCGGCGUGCCUAAUACAUGCAAGUCGAGCGAACGGACGAGAAGCUUGCUUUUCUGAUGUUAGCGGCGGACGGGUGAGUAACACGUGGAUAACCUACCUAUAAGACUGGGAUAACUUCGGGAAACCGUAGCUAAUACCGGAUAAUAUUUUGAACCGCAUGGUUCAAAAGUGAAAGACGGUCUCGCUGUCACUUAUAGAUGGAUCCGCGCUGCAUUAGCUAGUUGGUAAGGUAACGGCUUACCAAGGCAACGAUGCAUAGCCGACCUGAGAGGGUGAUCGGCCACACUGGAACUGAGACACGGUCCAGACUCCUACGGGAGGCAGCAGUAGGGAAUCUUCCGCAAUGGGCGAAAGCCUGACGGAGCAACGCCGCGUGAGUGAUGAAGGUCUUCGGAUCGUAAAACUCUGUUAUUAGGGAAGAACAUAUGUGUAAGUAACUGUGCACAUCUUGACGGUACCUAAUCAGAAAGCCACGGCUAACUACGUG
RNAcentral lists this ribosomal RNA (497 nucleotides) under uncultured bacterium. RNAcentral describes it as "partial 16S ribosomal RNA". It matches the Rfam family "Bacterial small subunit ribosomal RNA", at positions 28 to 507 of the family's 1533-position model. The record is from RNAcentral.